This 492-nucleotide ribosomal RNA is filed under the name uncultured bacterium. Its description in RNAcentral is "partial 16S ribosomal RNA". It matches the Rfam family "Bacterial small subunit ribosomal RNA", at positions 29 to 507 of the family's 1533-position model. The record is from RNAcentral.
AGUGAACGCUGGCGGUAGGCCUAACACAUGCAAGUCGAACGGCAGCACAGUAAGAGCUUGCUCUUACGGGUGGCGAGUGGCGGACGGGUGAGGAAUACAUCGGAAUCUACUUUUUCGUGGGGGAUAACGUAGGGAAACUUACGCUAAUACCGCAUACGACCUACGGGUGAAAGCAGGGGAUCUUCGGACCUUGCGCGAUUGAAUGAGCCGAUGUCGGAUUAGCUGGUUGGCGGGGUAAAGGCCCACCAAGGGGACGAUCCGUAGCUGGUCUGGGUGGAUGAUCAGCCACACUGGAACUGAGCCACGGACCAGAGUCCUAAGGGAGGCAGCAGUGGGGAAUAUUGGACAAAGGGCGCAAGCCUGAUCCAGCCAUCGCGCGUGGGUGAAGAAGGCCUUCGGGUUGUAAAGACGUUUUGUUGGGAAAGAAAAGCAGCAGGUUAAUACCCCGCUGUUCUGACGGUACCCAAAGAAUAAGCACCGGCUAACUUCGUG